UACGAAGGGGGCUAGCGUUGUUCGGAAUUACUGGGCGUAAAGGGCGCGUAGGCGGCCGAUUAAGUUAGAUGUGAAAGUCCUGGGCUCAACCUGGGGACUGCAUUUAAUACUGGUUGGCUUGAAUUCGGGAGAGGAUAGCGGAAUUCCCAGUGUAGAGGUGAAAUUCGUAGAUAUUGGGAAGAACACCGGUGGCGAAGGCGGCUAUCUGGACCGACAUUGACGCUGAGGCGCGAAAGCGUGGGGAGCAAACAGG
Molecule: ribosomal RNA, 253 nt
Filed under: uncultured bacterium
Lineage: Bacteria
Also listed under: 1 other name
Description: partial 16S ribosomal RNA
Rfam family: Bacterial small subunit ribosomal RNA
Source: RNAcentral